This 379-nucleotide ribosomal RNA is filed under the name uncultured bacterium. RNAcentral's name for it is "bacterial SSU rRNA". It matches the Rfam family "Bacterial small subunit ribosomal RNA", at positions 355 to 751 of the family's 1533-position model. The record is from RNAcentral.
UAGGGAAUAUUAGUAAUGGGCGAAAGCCUGAACUAGCAACGCCGCGUGUGCGAAGAAGGCCUUCGGGUUGUAAAGCACUUUUUGAGAGGAUGAGGAAGGACGGUACUCUCAGAAUAAGUCUCGGCUAACUACGUGCCAGCAGCCGCGGUAACACGUAGGAGGCGAACGUUAUCCGGAUUUACUGGGCGUAAAGCGCGUGUAGGUGGUUUGGUAAGUAGGGCGUGAAAGCUCCUGGCUCAACUGGGAGAGGCCGUUCUAAACUGCCGAACUAGAGGAUGGUAGAGGGAGGUGGAAUUCCGGGUGUAGCGGUGGAAUGCGCAGAUAUCCGGAGGAACACCAGUGGCGAAAGCGGCCUCCUGGACCAUUCCUGACACUCAGA